This is a long non-coding RNA of Canis lupus familiaris (dog), 1405 nucleotides long. RefSeq lists it as uncharacterized. The record is from RefSeq and is a predicted model, not a curated record. Lineage: Eukaryota; Metazoa; Chordata; Mammalia; Carnivora; Canidae. The transcript has 3 exons.
UAUUCGUGAAAAAUACCUCAAAAGUACCUCAAAAAUUCCCAGGUCGUCUGCCCUCCAGGCGGGGGCUCUCUCUGCUAAACCCAGUGCCGGGGCUAGAGAGCUCGGAGGGUUCAGGGAAGCAUUCAGGGGUUCACUGAGUUCUCACAUAGGACAGACACCCCUCUAAGGCAAAUACAGAACAUGAUCUUUAACCAUUCCUGUCAAUAAUAUAUAUAUAUAUAUAUAUAUAUAUAUAUAUAUUUUUUUUUUUUUUUUUGGUCAGCUUUUGCCAGGCCCUGUUGCACAUGCUGUGUGUUUAGUCUUCCCAAUGAUCUGUGAGUCACAUCCUAUUAAAAUCCUCGCUUUAUAGAUGAGAAACUGAGGCAUCGGGAGGUUAAGUAAGGUAUUCAUGUUUAAAAACCUAAAAAUGGCCAGAGCGAAGGUUUAUACCCAACCAAUCUAGCUCAUAAAGCCCCACGUAUUAAUGGUUGUGCUUUACGCUACAUAUGACAAAAGGGAUUUGUGACGAGAGCUCACUUUGAUGAUGGACACUUGUCACCAUCUGCAAGAUGACGCUGACUUUUCUUGAAACUACUGAAGGGCAAGAGGAAGCAAAAACAAAACAAAACAAAAACAAAACAAACAAACAGAGAGAGAACAAACUAAGCCCUUGAUUGUGGACAGACUACAUAUGGACUGAUUAUUAGAAACCCAAGUGUAGGGGGAUCCCUGGAUGGCUCAGCGGUUUAGCGCCUGCCUUCAGCCGAGGGCAUGAUCCUAGAGUCCUGGGAUCGAGUCCCAUGUCGGGCUCCCUGCAUGGAGCCUGCUUCUCCUGCCUGUGUUUCUGCCUCUCUCUCUGUCUCUCGUGAAUAAAUAAAUAAAUAAUCUAAAAAAAAAAAAAAAAGAAGAAAGAAAGAAACCCAAGUGUAGGCUCUAUGUUUGGAAUUCCAUUUUAGCCAGGCGAUUUGCACUAUCACAUCCCUUGUGUCUCCGUGGAGGUGCCCGCUAUGGAAGAAUGGCUGAAUGACCUGAUCAGAAUGGAAUGUAGCAGCCGUCUUAUCUGACCACAGGGAUACCUACCAGGAGAGGAAUGCCUCACUUCCUCAUGAUAAUUUUUGAAGACUUUUCUGAGAAGGUGAUAAUAUUAUCCAAUUACCUCACAAUCACAAGGUUUACUGCAGUGACUGCAAACUGUGUGCCUCAUUCAGCAAGUGUGACAGAAUAAGGAAAAAGAAGAUUGAGAGGUGGGAUCUGGGAGGAAACCAAGGACCCAAACUGAAGGUCAAAUCCUGUGAGAAAUGAAGGGACUUCACCAAACCACCAUCCCACAAGCUCCUGCAUUCCCACCAACUGGUGAUUUUCUUCAUGAUCUUUUAUUUAUUGAUUCAUGAGAGGCACAGAGAGAUACGCAGAGACACAGGCAGAG